This 89-nucleotide transfer RNA is filed under the name Candidatus Thiodiazotropha sp. Its description in RNAcentral is "tRNA-Leu". It matches the Rfam family "tRNA". Rfam says of the family: Transfer RNA (tRNA) molecules are approximately 80 nucleotides in length. Their secondary structure includes four short double-helical elements and three loops (D, anti-codon, and T loops). The record is from RNAcentral. Lineage: Bacteria; Pseudomonadati; Pseudomonadota; Gammaproteobacteria; Chromatiales; Sedimenticolaceae.
GGGGAUAUGGCGGAAUGGUCUACGCGGCAGACUUAAACCCUGUUUGUGCUCAACGCACUGUGCCCGUUCGAGUCGGGCUGUCCCUACCA